GACAGUAAACAAGUUUCAGUUAUAUUUAACUUUAAGUGGUACAUCUGCAAUAAAGUAAGGAUUUUUUGGUUGUCGUUUGGCAGUAGAUUCAUCUACAAAUCUCUGUACACACCAGCCCCCUUCAUGGAUACAAUAUAAGACAACACUAUUUUAGAAAAUAAGCUCCUUAGCUGAUAAAGAGUUAUCUAUUUCUAUUUCUAAGAGAUGCCUGAGGUGGUGGAUCCAGACGCCUAUCCUGACAUUUGGGAAGAUAGGCUUAUCAUUUUAUUGGGCUCUGCAACCCAGCUGCGAACAUGCUAAAAAAAUAACUUUCAGAAAAUAACAAGAAAGGAAAAGCUGUUUGCUUGUCCUACACAUCAUUGUGUUCUAGUCUCUAGAGGAUGUGCAGGUGUGAUGUUAUUUCCCAGGAAUACUUGGAAAUAUUUUGAGGGAAAUCUGUAGCACUCCCCCAGAACUCCUUACAAGCAAAAUACAGAGAUGAAAUUUUUUUUCUCCAGAUGGAGAUGGAAUUUCCUUUCAUUGACAGUAGACACUUCCUUCUGUUACCAUGUGCCCUAGUAGAUGAUGAAUUCUUCUGUCAUCUCAGAUGAUUAUUGUCCUCCUGGCCUCAUGCAAGUUACUUCUCUCAAGAUUUCUUCUCAUCAAACAACUUAAAAUAAGGAGAUCACUUAGUCAUUCUAGGUGUUAGCUCUGGAUAAGAUAUAAUAAUAUCUAUUUUUUUUGGAAUAACAGUGAUGUUUUAUGAGUAAACAGCUCAUUACAAUGCCUGGUAUACAGUAGGUGCUCAAUAAAUGAGAGCUGAUAUCACAAUAAAAUUCACCACCACUUCGACUAUCACUGCCAUUACUUCUGUUGCUGUCAGCAUCACCAAGCAUCUUAAGCACAAAACCAUUCUACCAUUUUUUUCUGUGAAAAAAAAAAGUUGGGUCAUAUUUAAAAUACAUCAUAAUUCACUUAUGGGAGUCUAUGACAGAAUACACAGAAAUUAAAGAAUAGUAAACAAUUAGGUCAAUUGAUGAUUCCGUAGAUGAUCGAAGAACUAAAUUUAUACUAGUCUUCCAUUGCAUAUGCCUUAGCAGCUAUCUGAUUCCUAACGUGAAACAUAUUUAUGUACUCUACUUCAUUCUAAGAGUCUCUAUUUAUAUCUUCAUUUUUAAAAAAGUAUUAUGGUGGUGGGGGAGUGGGAUGGACUGGAAGUGUGGGGUUAAUAGAUGCAUACUAUUGCAUUUGGAGUGGAUAAGCAAUGAGAUCCUGCUGUAUAGCACAGGGAACUAUAUCCAGUCACUUUUGAUGGAACAUGAUGGAGGAUAAGGUGAGAAAAAAAUAUAUAUAUACAUAUGCAUGACUGGGUCGCUUUGCUGUACAGUAGAAACUGACAGAACACUGUAAAUCGACUAUAAUGGAAAAAAAUAAAAAUCAUAAAGUAUUAUGAAAAUGAAAAAUAAGAUGAUGUUUCAGCAUCUAGUAUCAAUGUCAACAUUUGCAGGAUUCAGAAAAUGUCAAUAAACACACUUGGAAUAUAACAUGAAUCAUUCGCUUCAAGGAGAAAGUUAUGCAAGCAUUUGAGAAUCUAACUACAAAUGGAAUCCAAACAAGAAGACAAGGGUAGCUCUUCUCUGCAAGAUGAAUCCUUCUAAAAAGGGUGUUUUAAACAAAAGAUGUAGGGGGGAGUCAUUGGAAAUAAAAAAUAUGGCCAGAUCUGGUCUACAGGAACGGUAGUCAUGCUUCACUGAGGUCUUCUGCGAGAUGAUCUAGCUGCUGAUACAGUGGUGAGGAGUGUGACUUCAUUGAUUCAAUACAAGUCCCAGAGGCAUAAUCAGGAGACAAACAUGUAGUUCUCACUUUACAUAAGUAGAGCAUAGAAGAAAGUUUCCUGGGCCCUCUACGUUUACUCACCUCUUACAUACAUAGUUCCGUAUUGAGUAAAAUCUAGCAGGUGUCCUGACUACUGUUUUAGUUAUGUCAUCCUUGGGUUAAAAUUCCUUUAAAAAGGAUAAGAUACUAACGCCUUUGCUGACUGAAGGAUUAAGUCUUGGUAAAUUCACUCAACAAACAAAGGCUUCCUAAGUAUGGAUUUUAUACCUUUGCAUUGGCACUGACUAUGUAGAAAUAAAAAAGACAACGAUGCUAUACUGGACCCUACAUGUGAAUAAAGAAUGGCUAUAUGUAUAUGUAUACUGAUUCACUUUGCUGAAACCUGAAACUAAUACAGAGAGCACUGUGAGUCAGCUACACUCCCAUAAAUUUUUUUUUAAAAAGAUACAAACAGGAAAAAAAAGACAACUCUAUCAGCUUUCAUACAUUCUGUAAAAGUAUGAGACUUCAAAAAAAAAAAAAAAAGCAGAUUUGAACAGUAAGACACAAUUUUUAAAACAGUAAAUCAAGAGAUGACACCUCCCCAGUUUAGUCAAUGGUUAAAUUGUGUCUCCAAAAACCUAGGGGUUUUCCAUAGUCCCACUAGCCUCAGAUUUUAAUGAUAGUUUCUCCCUUAAGAAAAAAUGACUGCAGCAGCUCCUGUGCUUGGCACUGAACCUCACCCUAUAAUAAUCAAAAGCAGGAAGGGAUUGGCAGGCCUCGGGUGUGUCUCUUUAUCACAAAAGAAAAACUUUCUCAUAUAUCCUCUUCUGUCUCAUUGGCCAGGACUGGGUUACCUGCCAAGGUUUGGCAGCAGGGGACUCAGGGAGCUGACUGAACCACUGUGGUGGGACCUGGGCUCCAUCAGUAGGAACUUAGGAGGCUGCGGAAGGCUGUAGCACAACUAGCAUAGUCUUGCCAGAAUGUGAUUCCUCUUCUGGACAUACUGGCAUAGUCACUGAACCAAAUACAUCUGGUGUGCAAGUCUUUAUCUCAGGAGGCAAAGAUCAAUAGGACUUCGUAGGUUAGGAGUUAGAUAGGAAUUUGAAUUUUAUUACAGGUGGAAUGGGGACUUUUGGGAUGGGUUGGUUGAACAUUCACAUGGGCUACAAUCUAUGCUAGAAACUUUCACUUGGAACAUUUUAUAUAAUUUCUUAUAA
RNAcentral lists this long non-coding RNA (3014 nucleotides) under Sus scrofa (pig). RNAcentral describes it as "lncRNA (ENSSSCG00060054454.1)". The record is from RNAcentral. Lineage: Eukaryota; Metazoa; Chordata; Mammalia; Artiodactyla; Suidae.